GAGAGCACAGUACAAUGAAAGUUAUGAGCUGUGUUCGGGGGGGGGGGAGUUAUUGUCUAUCAUUGGCCUCAAUGGUAGAAUCAGUCGGGGCCUGAGAGGUGGUGGUUUUACCCUGU
Glycine max (soybean) is the source of this 116-nucleotide non-coding RNA. The record is from Rfam. Lineage: Eukaryota; Viridiplantae; Streptophyta; Magnoliopsida; Fabales; Fabaceae.